This 496-nucleotide ribosomal RNA is filed under the name uncultured bacterium. Its description in RNAcentral is "partial 16S ribosomal RNA". It matches the Rfam family "Bacterial small subunit ribosomal RNA", at positions 28 to 506 of the family's 1533-position model. The record is from RNAcentral.
GAUGAACGCUGGCGGCGUGCCUAAUACAUGCAAGUCGAGCGAACAGACGAGGAGCUUGCUCCUUUGACGUUAGCGGCGGACGGGUGAGUAACACGUAGGUAACCUACCUAUAAGACUGGGAUAACUUCGGGAAACCGGAGCUAAUACCGGAUAAUAUUUCGAACCGCAUGGUUCGUUAUUGAAGGAGGCCUUUGCUAUCACUUAUAGAUGGACCUGCGCCGUAUUAGCUAGUUGGUAAGGUAACGGCUUACCAAGGCAACGAUACGUAGCCGACCUGAGAGGGUGAUCGGCCACACUGGAACUGAGACACGGUCCAGACUCCUACGGGAGGCAGCAGUAGGGAAUCUUCCGCAAUGGGCGAAAGCCUGACGGAGCAACGCCGCGUGAGUGAUGAAGGUCUUCGGAUCGUAAAACUCUGUUAUUAGGGAAGAACAAACGUGUAAGUAACUGUGCACGUCUUGACGGUACCUAAUCAGAAAGCCACGGCUAACUACGU